This 68-nucleotide transfer RNA is filed under the name Methylobacterium sp. R2-1. Its description in RNAcentral is "tRNA-Ser". Lineage: Bacteria; Pseudomonadati; Pseudomonadota; Alphaproteobacteria; Hyphomicrobiales; Methylobacteriaceae. The record is from RNAcentral.
GUGCGGCGGCGAAAGCCGAAGUGGUAUGAAACCUGGGGUCGCAGGUUCGAGCCCUGCCGGGGACGCCA